RNAcentral lists this ribosomal RNA (301 nucleotides) under uncultured bacterium. RNAcentral describes it as "partial 16S ribosomal RNA". It matches the Rfam family "Bacterial small subunit ribosomal RNA", at positions 509 to 809 of the family's 1533-position model. The record is from RNAcentral.
CAGCCGCCGCGGGAAUACGGAGGGCGCGAGCGUUAAUCGGAAUAACUGGGCGUAAAGGGCACGCAGGCGGUGACUUAAGUGAGGUGUGAAAGCCCCGGGCUUAACCUGGGAAUUGCAUUUCAUACUGGGUCGCUAGAGUACUUUAGGGAGGGGUAGAAUUCCACGUGUAGCGGUGAAAUGCGUAGAGAUGUGGAGGAAUACCGAAGGCGAAGGCAGCCCCUUGGGAAUGUACUGACGCUCAUGUGCGAAAGCGUGGGGAGCAAACAGGAUUAGAUACCCCGGUAGUCCCUGUCUCUUAUAA